AUGGAGGGCUCCCGGGGGAGGUGGAGGUGGGGUGGCAGGCGCAGAUCCAUGCUAAUGGUGGCGCUGGCCCUGUGCUUCGUCGUGGUCGUCUCCCUGUGCUGCUGCGCCCGGCCCGGGGCUUGCAGUGGCAGUGGCUGCAGUGGGAGGAGUACCGUGGUGGCGCUCCGUUCAGAUUUUUGGAGACGAACAGCAGCAUCGUUCGGUAAUCAGGAGCGGUCAGGAGCCAGCGGGAGCGGAGGACGGCGGCGGCUGCUGGUGGUGGCCGGGCCGGGGUCGUACCCGCCGCGGUGCACGGGCAAGUGCGGCAGCUGCAGCCCGUGCUACCCGGUGCACGUGGCCGUGCCGCCGGGGGUGCCGGUCACCACGGAGUACUACCCGGAGGCGUGGCGGUGCAGGUGCGGCAACCGGCUCUACAUGCCAUGA
This 423-nucleotide ribosomal RNA is filed under the name Triticum aestivum (bread wheat). RNAcentral's name for it is "partial small subunit ribosomal RNA". The record is from RNAcentral. Lineage: Eukaryota; Viridiplantae; Streptophyta; Magnoliopsida; Poales; Poaceae.